RNAcentral lists this unclassified non-coding RNA (236 nucleotides) under Glomus sp. RNAcentral's name for it is "partial contains 5.8S ribosomal RNA and internal transcribed spacer 2". The stretch from base 1 to 71 matches the Rfam family "5.8S ribosomal RNA", at positions 84 to 154 of the family's 154-position model. The record is from RNAcentral. Lineage: Eukaryota; Fungi; Glomeromycota; Glomeromycetes; Glomerales; Glomeraceae.
GUGAAUCAUCGAAUCUUUGAACGCAAAUUGCACUCUCUGGGAUUCCUGAGAGUAUGCCUGUGUGAGGGUCAGUUUAAAUAAAAAUCGUUGUGGUUGCUGCCUUUCGUGGUGACGCACCGGAUUUGGGUCGUCUUGCCUUCGUUUAAGUGACCUAAAAUUUUGCAUGAGUUUUUUCGAACGUAUUUAAGUUAUUUUACUUACGUUUUCGAUAUCUAAUACUAUUUGUGGUCCUCGUC